This is a non-coding RNA of Mesocricetus auratus (golden hamster), 472 nucleotides long. Lineage: Eukaryota; Metazoa; Chordata; Mammalia; Rodentia; Cricetidae. The record is from the annotation of a RefSeq genome assembly.
CUGACAGAGUCACCCAGCACUCGACUCACAGGCCUUCCCAUUCUGUGGACAUCACAACAUUCAGCAUGGAGUUGAGACUGAGCUGGGUUUUCCUUGUUGCUCUUUUACAAGGCAUCCAAUGUGAGGCACAGUUGGUGGAGUCUGGGGGAGGCUUGAUGCAUCCUGGAAAGUCCUUGAAACUCUCCUGUGAAGCCUCGGGAUUCACCUUAAGUGACUACUGGAUAAACUGGUUCCGCCAGGCACCAGGAAAAGGGCUGGAGUGGGUUGGUGUAGCUAAAAACAAACUUCAUAAUUAUGGAACAGAAUAUGGGGAUUCUGUGAAAGGCAGAUUCACCAUCUCAAGAGACGACUCCAAAAGCAGCGUGUACCUGCAGAUGAACAACUUAAGAGCAGAUGACACCGCCAUUUAUUACUGUAUUAGAGACACAGUGAGAGGACUUCAUUGUGAACCCUGACACAAACCUUCCUGCAG